AUAACGAGCGCAACCCUUAUCGUUAGUUGCCAGGCGGGUAAUGGCCGGGAACUCUAACGAAACUGCCGGUAGUAAACCGUGAGGAAGGUGGGAUGACGUCAAAUCAGCACGGCCCUUAUGUCCAGGGCUACACACGUGUUACAAUGGCCGGUACAGAGGGCAGCUACCUGGAGACAGGAUGCGAAUCUCCAAAGCCGGUCUCAGUUCGGAUCGGAGUCUGCAACUCGACUCCGUGAAGCUGGAUUCGCUAGUAAUCGCGCAUCAGCCAUGGCGCGGUGAAUACGUUCCCGGGCCUU
This 296-nucleotide ribosomal RNA is filed under the name uncultured Sphingobacteriales bacterium. RNAcentral's name for it is "partial 16S ribosomal RNA". It matches the Rfam family "Bacterial small subunit ribosomal RNA", at positions 1089 to 1382 of the family's 1533-position model. The record is from RNAcentral. Lineage: Bacteria; Pseudomonadati; Bacteroidota; Sphingobacteriia; Sphingobacteriales.